CCAGAGGGAAAUGUCUUUUCUUCCUUUUCUAGGGUCCCAUUAGCAUCCCGAAGCCAUGCCACUCCAGUCCCCUUCCAGCAGCAGUCAGACCACACCUGAAGAGUCGCUGAGUUCAGCCCUGGGGGCCGCAUUUCUGCAAGAACACGCCAAGCUAGAGAGCUGCGAUUAGCGACCAGCAUGAUGAAGGGCCUCAGGGCCCUGCCAGAUGAGGACAGAGCCAAGGAACUGGACACGUUUUAUCUGGAGAAAAUGAGCGGAAAUGGGAGACGGAGAGCGGUCUUCAAGGGCCUUAAGAUCUAUUACCUGGAGGACUUAGAUUCUUUCGACGUGGCUGCAGCGGGCAGAAAAGGAAUAGCUGUCUCCUGCUCCUUGAGGACCCCUCCUCUCCCGUCUGUCACAGAAUGACAAAGAGGUCAAUUCAAAUGCCUCCCGAAUGGCCUGCCUGCCACAGCCACAUGCCGAGAAGGCUGUUUCCCAUACCCAGCAUGCCCUCCCUCAUCACUUCCUCCUCCUUGAACCCUCGACUUCCUUCAUUCUUCAGCUCCAAUGUCACCCUCUAUAGGAAGCUUAUCCUGAUUCCCUCAGAUGCUAGAGACAAACCCUGGAAAUUAUUUUGUCUAUGGUCUGUAUUUCAUUUUCUAUGAACGUGUUUCCC
Phascolarctos cinereus (koala) is the source of this 655-nucleotide non-coding RNA. NCBI's taxonomy places the organism in Eukaryota, Metazoa, Chordata, Mammalia, Diprotodontia, Phascolarctidae. The record is from RefSeq and is a predicted model, not a curated record.